AAAGCAUGGCUGCUCAACAUAUUAUGUAGCCAUUUUCGGAAAACACUAUCCAAGUAACUUACACAUGUACGAUAUUUUCUUUCUGAUUUUCUCAAAUUAAAUACACGAGUGUAUUAAGUGACUUCUUUGUAGAGUGACAUUCGAACAACGUCUUAAAUGCAUCUCAGACCAUCGGAAAUUUAUUAUUCUCAAGAUUCGAUCAACAAUUAUUUUGAUUCGCAAUCAAAGCAUAGCGGCAAACCAAUUGGUGAAACGUUGGACAAAAUUUGCGAAGGAAGGUGCAGUAUUCACUCGAUAACCUUUUAUCACCGUUGUAAAGAUAGGAGACAAAUGGAUGACGAUGGACAAUCGUCGCCUCUGGGUGUUUAAAGAGUUAGAGAGGCUCGGAAAAUGCGACAGUGUACCUGUCAAUGUUGACGACAGUAUCCCUUCUGAAAAACUUACAACGGACAAUGGCGGUGUCACAAUUGACGUCCGUGGCUGUCCUGGCGGAACAUGGUACACCAAACCAGGGUCUGAUAUCAGUCAUUUCGAGGUCGUUGAAAAAAGAUCGCGGUCGAUGGACUUCGAUGAUUGGGACUUUGGUCUAGAUUUUGAUAGAUUCACGCUUGAGGACGAUUCUGAUGGUUGUUAUGGUUAUGACAGUGAUUUUUAAUACAAACAUUGUCCCAAAAACUAAUAUGAACAGUUGUUGAUUGUCCAUAGGACAUAUGUUGAUUUUGUUUAAUCAUUUGCAUUUGUUUUUUAUAUUAUCUUGAUGAUAAUAAUUUAUUAAAGUAAAUUAAACGUUUUAUCAUUUGUCGCUUUUAUUCAAGGCAUUUUUUAUGUGUUAAUAAUGCGUGUGUUAUACCAUUAAACAAUUUAAUAUA
This is a long non-coding RNA of Dreissena polymorpha, 869 nucleotides long. RefSeq lists it as uncharacterized. The transcript has 2 exons. NCBI's taxonomy places the organism in Eukaryota, Metazoa, Mollusca, Bivalvia, Myida, Dreissenidae. The record is from RefSeq and is a predicted model, not a curated record.